RNAcentral lists this small nuclear RNA (106 nucleotides) under Vulpes vulpes (red fox). The record is from RNAcentral. Lineage: Eukaryota; Metazoa; Chordata; Mammalia; Carnivora; Canidae.
GUGUUUACUUUGGCAGCACAUAUGCUGAAAUUGGAACCACACAGAGAAGUUACCAUGGCUUCUCUGCAAGGAUGACAUGCACGUUUGUGAAGCAUUCUAUAUUUUU